This 1009-nucleotide long non-coding RNA is filed under the name Rattus norvegicus (Norway rat). Its description in RNAcentral is "long non-coding RNA NONRATT028044". Lineage: Eukaryota; Metazoa; Chordata; Mammalia; Rodentia; Muridae. The record is from RNAcentral.
GUAUAACUGUGCCCGCCUUGCCACGCUCUUCGAGGGUUACAAACACGGAAUGGAACAAGGUCUGUAUCCCACUUUCCCGCUCGUGAGCAGUCUGGAUUUCUCAUUACUCCAUGAUGAGGUGAGUGUUACUCGAUGAACGGCCACAAGCAGAAGGCUUGGGCUGGUCUUCCGAGCACUCUUGUCUCCCACAGGGUGAGUGGCUGCUGCUUUUCAACAGUGUCCUUCCCUUCCUGGACCUCCUGAGCCAGACUGUGAGCCUGGCUAGCACCCCAGGGCUCCACAUCCCUGUUCGCACGGAGAUGGUGUGCAAGUUCCUGGUGCAGCUCAGCAUGGAUUUCAGCUCAUACUAUAACCGCGUACACAUUCUAGGGGAACCUCGGCCACACCUCUUUGGUCAGAUGUUUGCUCGCCUACAGCUUUUGAGGGCAGUACGUGAGGUGUUCCACACAGGCUUGGCCAUGCUGGGCCUCCCUCCGCUGAGCCACAUCUAAGGGCCCAAUAGCUGGGAAUGUUUAUAAAAGCAUCAACUGGGAAAAAAACAAGACCUCACAGAAACCUCACAGAUGUUGGGCACUUAAAGUCAGAAUAAAUACAGUUUCAUCCUAUUGUGAAGAGUGAGGCAUAUUCUUGGUCCACCUAUGCAACACCCUACAGGAACCCAUGGUACUGCCUCACCUCCUCAGAGCACAUAGAGCAUGACACAGACAGCUGAUCCCUGCUCCGCUGUCUGUGGUCAAGCCCCAGGCUCAGUCCUCCAACUACUGUGGUAACUCAGUCAUACCAGUUGUAAACCUCGAGUCCCUGACCCGCAAGAGCACAGCGGUGGCCAAACUCAGGGUUCACAGGCCAGCAGUCCAUGUCAGCCACAUCUGGCACGUGGUACACAGUGCUAUUCAUGAAGGUGGGCUCACCAUUUCCAAGACGCCAGAAGGUCAGCCGUUGGUCUAUGGAGGCUGAGACCAUCAGCUUGGGACUUAGGAUCUUGAUGCCCGUCACAUGGGCAGCAUGU